RNAcentral lists this long non-coding RNA (277 nucleotides) under Callithrix jacchus (white-tufted-ear marmoset). RNAcentral describes it as "lncRNA (ENSCJAG00000074038.1)". Lineage: Eukaryota; Metazoa; Chordata; Mammalia; Primates; Cebidae. The record is from RNAcentral.
GUACCUCACAGGGCUGGGAGCACCCAAUGAGGUUUCUUCCUGCCAAUGGUGUGCCAGGACCUGUUAUGAAAGCAGGGAGCGUCAGUGGUGAUCACCAAACAUAGCCUCGGGGGUGACUUGGUGAAAAGAAGGGUUUUCUGGAUGUUGGGGUCUCAGGGACUCCCUCAGGGAGCUGAUCUCAGAACUUUUCUAGACCUGUCGCUAGCAUUCUGCUUCACCUGAUUAAUCCUAAUCAUCCAACCUGUUCCAAACAACUCUGCUCUGCUGUGAUGUCCUC